Molecule: ribosomal RNA, 460 nt
Filed under: uncultured bacterium
Lineage: Bacteria
Description: partial 16S ribosomal RNA
Rfam family: Bacterial small subunit ribosomal RNA
Source: RNAcentral
CCUACGGGGGGCAGCAGUGAGGAAUAUUGGUCAAUGGACGAGAGUCUGAACCAGCCAAGUAGCGUGAAGGAUGACUGCUCUAUGGGUUGUAAACUUCUUUUAUAUGGGAAUAAAACGUUCCACGUGUGGGAUUUUGUAUGUACCAUAUGAAUAAGGAUCGGCUAACUCCGUGCCAGCAGCCGCGGUAAUUCGGAGGAACCGAGCGUUAUCCGGAUUUAUUGGGUUUAAAGGGAGCGUAGGUGGAUUGGUAAGUCAGUUGUGAAAGUUUGCGGCUCAACCGUGAAAUUGCAGUUGAAACUGGCAGUCUUGAGUACAGUAGAGGUAGGCGGAAUUCGGGGUGUAGCGGUGAAAUGCUUAGAUAUCACGAAGAACACCGGUUGCGAAGGCAGUUCACUGGACUGCAACUGACACUGAGGCGCGAAAGUGUGGGUAUCAAACAGGAUUAGAUACCCGAGUAGUC